UUGGGAAUUGCAUCUGAAACUGGUUGGCUAGAGUCUUGUAGAGGGGGGUAGAAUUCCAUGUGUAGCGGUGAAAUGCGUAGAGAUGUGGAGGAAUACCGGUGGCGAAGGCGGCCCCCUGGACAAAGACUGACGCUCAGGUGCGAAAGCGUGGGGAGCAAACAGGAUUAGAUACCCUGGUAGUCCACGCUGUAAACGAUGUCGAUUUAGAGGUUGUGGUCUUGAACCGUGGCUUCUGGAGCUAACGCGUUAAAUCGACCGCCUGGGGAGUACGGCCGCAAGGUUAAAACUCAAAUGAAUUGACGGGGGCCCGCACAAGCGGUGGAGCAUGUGGUUUAAUUCGAUGCAACGCGAAGAACCUUACCUACUCUUGACAUCCAGCGAAUCCUUUAGAGAUAGAGGAGUGCCUUCGGGAACGCUGAGACAGGUGCUGCAUGGCUGUCGUCAGCUCGUGUUGUGAAAUGUUGGGUUAAGUCCCGCAACGAGCGCAACCCU
RNAcentral lists this ribosomal RNA (492 nucleotides) under Proteus mirabilis. RNAcentral describes it as "bacterial SSU rRNA". It matches the Rfam family "Bacterial small subunit ribosomal RNA", at positions 614 to 1105 of the family's 1533-position model. The record is from RNAcentral. Lineage: Bacteria; Pseudomonadati; Pseudomonadota; Gammaproteobacteria; Enterobacterales; Morganellaceae.